This 440-nucleotide ribosomal RNA is filed under the name uncultured bacterium. Its description in RNAcentral is "partial 16S ribosomal RNA". It matches the Rfam family "Bacterial small subunit ribosomal RNA", at positions 338 to 795 of the family's 1533-position model. The record is from RNAcentral.
CCUACGGGGAGCAGCAGUGGGGAAUAUUGCACAAUGGGGGAAACCCUGAUGCAGCGACGCCGCGUGAGCGAAGAAGUAUUUCGGUAUGUAAAGCUCUAUCAGCAGGGAAGAAAAUGACGGUACCUGUGUAAGAAGCUCCGGCUAAAUACGUGCCAGCAGCCGCGGUAAUACGUAGGGAGCAAGCGUUAUCCGGAUUUACUGGGCGUAAAGGGAGCGGAGGCGGCUUGCAAGGUCUGAUGUGAAAUACCGGGGCUCAACCCCGGGGCUGCAGUGGAAACUGGCAGGCUGGAGUGCCGGAGAGGCAGGCGGAAUGCCUGGUGUAGCGGUGAAAUGCGUAGAUAGUAGGAGGAACACCGGUGGCGAAGGCAGCCUGCUGGACGGUGACUGACGCUGAGGCUCGAAAGCGUGGGGAGCAAACAGGAUUAGAUACCCCUGUAGUC